RNAcentral lists this unclassified non-coding RNA (390 nucleotides) under Hevea brasiliensis (rubber tree). The record is from RNAcentral. Lineage: Eukaryota; Viridiplantae; Streptophyta; Magnoliopsida; Malpighiales; Euphorbiaceae.
AUGUUGGGCCAUCUACAUCAAAGAUAUCCAUGUCAGUUUCAUUGGGUUCAAUAAAUUCUCAAAGGAAGAGGGCUAAAUCUCAUUCAAACUGUAGAGGCGAUGAUACUGUGGAUGAAGCAUUUGAGAAGAGUGAUAACCAGAAUGGAACUACAUUGCAUACACAGUUAAAGAAGGGCUCAUUAUCAAUGUCUAAAGCGAACCAACAGGAUGCAAGUGUUCUUGAUUGCACAGAAGGUAGCAGAAAAGAUGCAUCAGAGAAUGGGAUGAUGUGUGCGCUUACUCGAGGUCUGCGAGAGACAACUGUUGCAUCUUGGGAUGGGAUAGAGUUGCCUGAGUCCCAGAUUGUGGAAUCAAAUAGAAUGGAAAAUCUCUGCAUUGGUUAUGUGCCAG